Molecule: ribosomal RNA, 473 nt
Filed under: uncultured bacterium
Lineage: Bacteria
Description: bacterial SSU rRNA
Rfam family: Bacterial small subunit ribosomal RNA
Source: RNAcentral
GACGAGCGCUGGCGGCGUGCUUAACACAUGCAAGUCGAACGGGCGGAUUUGGUAGCUUGCUAUCAUUGAAGCUAGUGGCAAACGGGUGAGUAACGCGUAGGCAACCUGCCCCUUGGAUGGGGACAACAUUCCCGAAAGGGAUGCUAAUACCGAAUGAUGUAUGAUUUUCGCAUGGGAGUCAUACCAAAGGCCGAGCAAUCGGUCACCAGGAGAUGGGCCUGCGUCUGAUUAGUUAGUUGGUGGGGCAACGGCCUACCAAGGCGACGAUCAGUAGCCGGUCUGAGAGGAUGAACGGCCACAUUGGGACUGAGACACGGCCCAGACUCCUACGGGAGGCAGCAGUGGGGGAAUCUUCCGCAAUGGGCGAAAGCCUGACGGAGCAACGCCGCGUGAGUGAAGAAGGUCUUCGGAUCGUAAAGCUCUGUUNAAGGGGACGCACGGCGCCUGCUACAAGAUAGCAGGUGAAUGACGGU